UACAUCCUCUCAGACAGUCAGUUUUAAUUCGGUCCCCGUGUUCACCGGCAAAAUUUUCUAUUUGGCGUGUAAUUUUUUAGUUUUUUUUCAAUAACUUGGGUGCUAAUGACAAAAUCGAAGAGAAAAUUCGCGAUUACCGAUAAAUUUCUUCCCAGACUCGCUAAAAACCUGUGCACCCGAAAAGGCAGCCGUCGGGCUAAUACCGGAAACCGUCUAGAACACGCGGUGCUAACCCACAUUCAGCACGUACCAUAGACAAGCAGCCCCAGCCAUCCUUCACCCAUCAUCCAUCAUCUCAUCAAACACGAUGGCCCGUGGAGACGAUUGUAAAAUAGCCACCAAGACUUCCUUUGUCAAACAAUUUGAAUUUCCAACACCAAUCAAGAAACCAAUCGUUGAUAAACCUUUGCCAAAAAAACAAGAGCAAAAGAACUACGGCGCUUGGGGCUCCACGUUUAAGGACAAGAAAACGUUCACGGACAUGCACUUCUGCUAAUUUUGUCAUGUUAUCAUCACUAUCGCUUACAGUUAAUCGUCAUUAAACCUCAUCUAGUUGUAAAGCUCCAACCAAAAUUAUUUGUAUCAGAUCGGCUAAUAAAUGUUGGAUAAGUUUUUGUGGCGUUUAGCAUUUCUUCUUCGUAUUUACUCACAUCUAAUGGUAGUGGUUUCGCGUACUAAUAUCAUGUAUCUCAUUAUAAUAGAUUAAACAGCAUCAUCAUAACUUUGAUUUUUUUGUUAACAACCUAGUAGAAUAGAAUAUUAUUUCGUUUAGACUUUUAAUUAAGAGAGGCGUUGACAAGAAUUUCGACUACAAUAUGAUAAUAUGACAUCCGUCAAACAAUAUAUUCUCUGAAAGUUGUUCCAUUUAGAAUUUUACUGACGAUAAUAAACACAGUAACCAAAAGCUAGAGUGGCCAGUAAAAGUCAUGCACAACAAUUUUGUCCCGUUAAAUUAAGAGGAAUAUGAAGUUCCACGAAAAUGAGAUUUUAAUGAUUCCCGCGGGCAUUUGGUGAACACUGAUAGUAAUGUAUUAAUCAUUAAUUUUCGCUGGCGGUGAACACAAAUAUUUUUUAUUAAUACAUAAAUUACACACACUUAAAAAGUAAUUAUUAGCCGAAGAUAGGUGGUGAAACUUACCAAUUUUAUUACAAUAAAUAACGAAACCUCUGAAUUUUUUGCUCUACUAUAUAGACAACAAUACAUAUAUUAUUUAAAAAAAUAAGGCAAUUUCAUUAAAGAAAACAUCGUAAGUGAAAUUAUUUUCUCAUCUGUAGAGUUGGCUCCUAUCGCGCCGCUAUAGACACAUUCUGUUCUAAUUAAGAUUCUCCGACUUUGAAUAUCUUUGUCUCUUCUUGUUGACCUAAAAAGCUGACAUGUUACAUUCAAACACCUUAUUUUUGUUGACCCUAGAUUGUAAAGCGUCUUUUAAGUGUGUCUUGAUGUUAUCGUACAAUUUAUUACGAAUGAAGUUAUAUAAAAAUUAAACAUGAAAUUUUUGUAAAAGAAAGAACUGCUAAGAAAUAAAAACAUUAAUGUGUACCGGGCGAGUGAAAGAUCAGGUGAAGUGUCUUUGGUAUUUAUUGCUAUAGAAAAUAAAUGUUGUUAAAGUUCUUAAAUCGAAAUACUGUGACAUCCUUAUGCUAGUGCUCUAAUAUACAUCAUGUUUCUGAGUCGGUUUAAUGUCACAGAGCUAAGUCCCGUGUUAGAUUAUUGCCAUUGCUAUUCUUCUAUGAAAAAAAAAUUUUUAGACAACUCCGUUUAGAUGACCACAUGAAGUGAUCAUGCGUUUGCUCUGAUAGUUUGGUCAUGUCCGUCGUCCUUCCGAGGUGUAAAUGGAAUAUAAUAAAAUCGCCCAGUCUAUGGAUUUUGAGAUAGUCAAACUAUCCAGGUAUAAACUUACAAAACGCUUAAAAUAUAUGCUACUAUUACUACUACUUCAGGUCUUCUACUCUAAAUUUUUAUUUAAGACAAACGAGCUUGAAGGUCGUAUCC
Long non-coding RNA from Pieris brassicae (large cabbage white), 1993 nucleotides. RefSeq lists it as uncharacterized. NCBI's taxonomy places the organism in Eukaryota, Metazoa, Arthropoda, Insecta, Lepidoptera, Pieridae. The record is from RefSeq and is a predicted model, not a curated record. The transcript has 4 exons.